GACGAACGCUGGCGGCGUGCUUAACACAUGCAAGUCGAGCGGUAAGGCCCUUUCGGGGGGUACACGAGCGGCGAACGGGUGAGUAACACGUGGGUGACCUGCCCUUAGCUCUGGGAUAAGCCUGGGAAACUGGGUCUAAUACCGGAUAUGACUCCAUGACGCAUGUUGUGGGGUGGAAAGCCUUGUGCGGCUAGGGAUGGGCCCGCGGCCUAUCAGCUUGUUGGUGGGGUGAUGGCCUACCAAGGCGACGACGGGUAGCCGGCCUGAGAGGGCGACCGGCCACACUGGGACUGAGACACGGCCCAGACUCCUACGGGAGGCAGCAGUGGGGAAUCUUGCGCAAUGGGCGAAAGCCUGACGCAGCGACGCCGCGUGGGGAUGACGGCCU
RNAcentral lists this ribosomal RNA (388 nucleotides) under uncultured bacterium. RNAcentral describes it as "bacterial SSU rRNA". It matches the Rfam family "Bacterial small subunit ribosomal RNA", at positions 28 to 417 of the family's 1533-position model. The record is from RNAcentral.